AGAACGAACGCUGGCGGCAUGCCUAAUACAUGCAAGUCGAACGAACUCUUCGGAGUUAGUGGCGCACGGGUGCGUAACGCGUGGGAAUCUGCCCCUUGGUUCGGAAUAACAGUUGGAAACGACUGCUAAUACCGGAUGAUGACGAAAGUCCAAAGAUUUAUCGCCAAGGGAUGAGCCCGCGUAGGAUUAGCUAGUUGGUGAGGUAAAGGCUCACCAAGGCAACGAUCCUUAGCUGGUCUGAGAGGAUGAUCAGCCACACUGGGACUGAGACACGGCCCAGACCUCCGUACGGGAGCAGCAGGUAGGGAAUAUUGGGACAAGUGGGACGAAAGCCUGAUCCAGCAAUGCCGCGUGAGUGA
Molecule: ribosomal RNA, 359 nt
Filed under: uncultured soil bacterium
Lineage: Bacteria
Description: bacterial SSU rRNA
Rfam family: Bacterial small subunit ribosomal RNA
Source: RNAcentral